RNAcentral lists this ribosomal RNA (357 nucleotides) under uncultured bacterium. RNAcentral's name for it is "bacterial SSU rRNA". It matches the Rfam family "Bacterial small subunit ribosomal RNA", at positions 539 to 896 of the family's 1533-position model. The record is from RNAcentral.
AGUUGUCCGGAUUUACUGGGUGUAAAGGGUGCYCAKGUGGGUUUGUAAGUCAGAGGUGAAAUCCCAAAGCUUAACUUUGGUGCUGCCUUUGAUACUGCAAGUCUGGAGUUUGAGAGAGGGUAAUGGAAUAUCUGGUGUAGCAGUGAAAUGCGUAGAUAUCAGAUAGAACACCAAUGGCGAAGGCAGUUACCUGGCUCAAUACUGACGCUAAAGCACGAAAGUGUGGGGAGCAAACAGGAUUAGAUACCCUGGUAGUCCACACCCUAAACGAUGAAUACUAGAUGUUGGUUUUUUAUAAAAUCAGUAUCCAAGCUAACGCAUUAAGUAUUCCACCUGGGAAGUACAAUCGCAAGGUUG